UAGGGUAGGGUUUGGGGUAGGGUUAGUGGUUGGGAUAGGGUUGGGGUAGGGUUAGGGUUAGUGGUUGAAAUAGGGUUAGGGGUAGGGUUAGGGUAGGGGUAGGGUUAGGGUAGGGUAACCCUAUUCCUAACCCUACUCAUAACCGUACCAAUAACCCUAUGCUAACCCUAACCUUACCCCUAACCCUACCAUAACCCUACUCCUAUCCUUAACCCUGCUCCUAACUCGACCCUUCCCCUUACCCUACCACUAGCUCUAACCCUACCAUAACCCUUAACCCUACCCUAUUUUUCCCAUGCGCAUCCCUACUUUUCUGUGCUAUCAAAGAG
RNAcentral lists this small RNA (329 nucleotides) under Pelobates cultripes (western spadefoot toad). Lineage: Eukaryota; Metazoa; Chordata; Amphibia; Anura; Pelobatidae. The record is from RNAcentral.